RNAcentral lists this small nuclear RNA (139 nucleotides) under Zootermopsis nevadensis. Its description in RNAcentral is "U1 spliceosomal RNA". It matches the Rfam family "U1 spliceosomal RNA", at positions 38 to 166 of the family's 166-position model. From Rfam's summary of the family: U1 is a small nuclear RNA (snRNA) component of the spliceosome (involved in pre-mRNA splicing). The record is from RNAcentral. Lineage: Eukaryota; Metazoa; Arthropoda; Insecta; Blattodea; Termopsidae.
AACCUCAUCUUGGGUUGCAGCUAUGCCAUAUGAGAUUAUACUGCGAAUUCUGUAAGAUUUGACCCCUGCGAUUGCCCCUAAUGUGGGUAACUCGGGCGCGCAAUUUUUGGUAGUCUGGACUGCGUACGCGCCGUCCCGG